This 497-nucleotide ribosomal RNA is filed under the name uncultured bacterium. Its description in RNAcentral is "partial 16S ribosomal RNA". It matches the Rfam family "Bacterial small subunit ribosomal RNA", at positions 28 to 507 of the family's 1533-position model. The record is from RNAcentral.
GAUGAACGCUGGCGGCGUGCCUAAUACAUGCAAGUCGAGCGAACAGACGAGGAGCUUGCUCCUCUGACGUUAGCGGCGGACGGGUGAGUAACACGUGGAUAACCUACCUAUAAGACUGGGAUAACUUCGGGAAACCGGAGCUAAUACCGGAUAAUAUAUUGAACCGCAUGGUUCAAUAGUGAAAGACGGUUUUGCUGUCACUUAUAGAUGGAUCCGCGCCGCAUUAGCUAGUUGGUAAGGUAACGGCUUACCAAGGCAACGAUGCGUAGCCGACCUGAGAGGGUGAUCGGCCACACUGGAACUAGAACACGGUCCAGACUCCUACGGGAGGCAGCAGUAGGGAAUCUUCCGCAAUGGGCGAAAGCUUGACGGAGCAACGCCGCGUGAGUGAUGAAGGUCUUCGGAUCGUAAAACUCUGUUAUUAGGGAAGAACAAAUGUGUAAGUAACUAUGCACGUCUUGACGGUACCUAAUCAGAAAGCCACGGCUAACUACGUG